CCUGUGUGCAGCCGACCGCCCUGUGUUCGUUUGGGCAGCGGCCUAGCUGGGGACACCUAUUUGGAGCUGAGGUUUCUCCCUGGGAAGCAGAGGAACUUUGUUGGAAAAGAACAGAUUGCCCCCUGCAGCGGCAAACGUACUAGUGGCAAAGUGAGAAGUCAGCGGGUCUCCAACACAGCCCUGGAGGCCGCGGACUCUGUGGAACCCUCCAGGGCCGGACACGGUCAGAGCCCUCCACCCGCACACCGCGGCCCAUGGGGAGGCCUGUUUAAAUGCAAGGCUGUGAAUAAAACCAAUUUCCUGAAA
This is a long non-coding RNA of Neogale vison (American mink), 306 nucleotides long. RefSeq lists it as uncharacterized. The record is from RefSeq and is a predicted model, not a curated record. Lineage: Eukaryota; Metazoa; Chordata; Mammalia; Carnivora; Mustelidae. The transcript is spliced from 2 exons.